CCUACGGGGGGCUGCAGUGAGGAAUAUUGGUCAAUGGGCGAGAGCCUGAACCAGCCAAGUCGCGUGAAGGAUGAAGGAUCCAUGGUUUGUAAACUUCUUUUAUAUGGGAAUAAAGUGAGGCACGUGUUCCUUUUUGUAUGUACCAUAUGAAUAAGCAUCGGCUAACUCCGUGCCAGCAGCCGCGGUAAUACGGAGGAUGCGAGCGUUAUCCGGAUUUAUUGGGUUUAAAGGGUGCGUAGGUGGUUAAUUAAGUCAGCGGUGAAAGGUUGUGGCUCAACCAUAAAAUUGCUGUUGAAACUGGGUGGCUUGAGUAUAUGUGAGGUAGGCGGAAUGCGUGGUGUAGCGGUGAAAUGCAUAGAUAGCACGCAGAACUCCGAUUGCGAAGGCAGCUUAAUAAAGUAUAACUGACACUGAAGCACGAAAGCGUGGGGAUCAAACAGGAUUAGAUACCCCAGUAGUC
This 460-nucleotide ribosomal RNA is filed under the name uncultured bacterium. RNAcentral describes it as "partial 16S ribosomal RNA". It matches the Rfam family "Bacterial small subunit ribosomal RNA", at positions 338 to 795 of the family's 1533-position model. The record is from RNAcentral.